UCCUGGACAUGGCUGGUUUGCUCCAACAAUAUGUAUCCACUCAGGACUUCACACACUCAGGCCUCCCUUCGCUCGCAACAGUACAUAGCAUUAAUGUUUUUUUUAUGGUUGUUUGCACCCUCCACACAUAUGCAGGACUGAGGAAACAUUUGGGAACUGGCUUUUUCCUUCCACUAUGUGUGUGUGUGUGUGUGUGUGUGUGAUUCAAUAUAGAGUCUCAGAAUCUUUUAUCCCAUUCAUUUAUUUCUCCUAAAAUUCCUGCUUCAUGAAAGUCCGGGGACUUUCCUCCCCAGGCAUAGAACUCAGGUUAUCAGGCUUGGUGGCAAGUGACUCUACCCACUGAACUAUCCUACCAACCCCCUAUGUGGCACUUUUGUCUGGAGGCGAGUUUGAUGUUUUUGCUGUAUAUUGGGAGAAAUCAAGUGUUGAAGCUGAGAUAAAGGGAGAUGAGAAGACAGGCUUGCAGGAGCCAGCCUUCGUAGGCUCUUGCAGACACGAUACGAAUUUUAUUCUAACCACAACAGGAAAUAAAAUUUUUGUGCAGGAAUA
Molecule: long non-coding RNA, 549 nt
Filed under: Rattus norvegicus (Norway rat)
Lineage: Eukaryota; Metazoa; Chordata; Mammalia; Rodentia; Muridae
Description: long non-coding RNA NONRATT009194
Source: RNAcentral